AGAGUUUGAUCCUGGCUCAGAAUGAACGCUGGCGGCGUGCUUAACACAUGCAAGUCGAACGGUAACAGAGGAGCUUGCUCCUGCUGACGAGUGGCGCACGGGUGAGUAAUGCAUAGGUAACGUGCCCCUUAGUCUAGGAUAGCCACUGGAAACGGUGAUUAAUACUGGAUACUCCUUCUCUUUUAAUAAGAGUUGGGAAAGUUUUUCGCUAAGGGAUCGGCCUAUGUUGUAUCAGGUAGUUGGUGAGGUAAUGGCUCACCAAGCCUAUGACACAUAGCGGGUCUGAGAGGAUGAUCCGCCACACUGGUACUGAGACACGGACCAGACUCCUACGGGAGGCAGCAGUGGGGAAUAUUGCACAAUGGACGAAAGUCUGAUGCAGCAACGCCGCGUGGAGGAUGACACAUUUCGGUGCGUAAACUCCUUUUAUAUGAGAAGAUAAUGACGGUAUCAUAUGAAUAAGCACCGCUAACU
RNAcentral lists this ribosomal RNA (474 nucleotides) under uncultured bacterium. RNAcentral describes it as "bacterial SSU rRNA". It matches the Rfam family "Bacterial small subunit ribosomal RNA", at positions 8 to 502 of the family's 1533-position model. The record is from RNAcentral.